RNAcentral lists this ribosomal RNA (486 nucleotides) under uncultured bacterium. Its description in RNAcentral is "bacterial SSU rRNA". It matches the Rfam family "Bacterial small subunit ribosomal RNA", at positions 28 to 524 of the family's 1533-position model. The record is from RNAcentral.
GACGAACGCUGGCGGCGCGCUUAACACAUGCAAGUCGAGCGAGAACCGGGCCUUCGGGCCUGGGGAAAGCGGCGAACGGGUGAGUAACACGUGGGCAACCCACCCUUGGUAUCCGGAUAGCCCGAGGAAACUCGGAUUAAUACGGAAUGGCCCAACAGCUCUUCGGGGCGGUUGGAAAAGGUAGCUUCGGCCUCCGACCAAGGACGGGCCCGCGGUGGAUUAGCUUGUUGGUGGGGUAAUGGCCUACCAAGGCGACGAUCCAUAGCUGGUCUGAGAGGACGAUCAGCCACACUGGGACUGAGACACGGCCCAGACUCCUACGGGAGGCAGCAGUGGGGAAUCUUGCGCAAUGGGCGAAAGCCUGACGCAGCCAUGCCGCGUGAAUGAUGAAGGUCUUAGGAUUGUAAAAUUCUUUCAGCGGGGACGAUAAUGACGGUACCCCGCAGAAGAAGCCCCGGCUAACUUCGUGCCAGCAGCCGCAGUAAG